UGGCUUGUAGCUCAGCGGUAGAGCAGUCGGCUGUUAACCGACUUGUCGCGGGUUCGAUUCCCACCUUGCCAG
RNAcentral lists this transfer RNA (72 nucleotides) under virus sp. ctpeS3. RNAcentral's name for it is "tRNA-Asn". It matches the Rfam family "tRNA". From Rfam's summary of the family: Transfer RNA (tRNA) molecules are approximately 80 nucleotides in length. The record is from RNAcentral.